Molecule: non-coding RNA, 300 nt
Organism: Ciona savignyi (Pacific transparent sea squirt)
Lineage: Eukaryota; Metazoa; Chordata; Ascidiacea; Phlebobranchia; Cionidae
Source: Rfam
GAGGGAUUAUGACUGAACGCCCUUUUAUGUCAGGAAUUCCCGCCUGGAAAGCGACGAUGCAUUCGUGCCUCGGCCUCGAGAGGCGUAGCUAGACGGCCGUGUGGCCGUGGAAAGAGCCCGAUUCCGACCCGAGAGGCCGCGGCAAGAGGCGGCCUCGAAGUCGGUGGAUCCUCCUGCUCGAAAGGCGGGGUGCUAAACCAUUCGCAGACGACCUAGUUGAAGAUCGGGGUGUCGUGAUCACUAGAGCAGUACAUCUCACUGCGAUUUGUUGAGAGUAAGCCUCAAGAUCUGUCGGUUUGU